GCGGAUGUAGCCAAGUGGAUCGAAGGCAGUGGAUUGUGGAUCACCCAUGCCGCGCGGGAGAAAAAAAA
This 68-nucleotide transfer RNA is filed under the name Anathallis vitorinoi. RNAcentral's name for it is "partial tRNA-His". The record is from RNAcentral. Lineage: Eukaryota; Viridiplantae; Streptophyta; Magnoliopsida; Asparagales; Orchidaceae.